Molecule: ribosomal RNA, 445 nt
Filed under: uncultured bacterium
Lineage: Bacteria
Description: bacterial SSU rRNA
Rfam family: Bacterial small subunit ribosomal RNA
Source: RNAcentral
GUGAGGAAUAUUGGUCAAUGGGCGCAAGCCUGAACCAGCCAUGCCGCGUGCAGGAUGAAGCAUCUAUGGUGUGUAAACUGCUUUUGUACGGGAAGAAACCCUUGCUCGUGAGCAAGAUUGACGGUACCGUAAGAAUAAGGAUCGGCUAACUCCGUGCCAGCAGCCGCGGUAAUACGGAGGAUCCAAGCGUUAUCCGGAAUCAUUGGGUUUAAAGGGUCCGUAGGCGGUUUUAUAAGUCAGUGGUGAAAUCUCCCCGCUCAACGGGGAAACGGCCAUUGAUACUGUAAGACUUGAAUGGUUGUGAAGUAACUAGAAUAUGUAGUGUAGCGGUGAAAUGCUUAGAGAUUACAUGGAAUACCAAUUGCGAAGGCAGGUUACUAACAAUUUAUUGACGCUGAUGGACGAAAGCGUGGGGAGCGAACAGGAUUAGAUACCCUAGUAGUCC